RNAcentral lists this ribosomal RNA (427 nucleotides) under uncultured bacterium. RNAcentral describes it as "bacterial SSU rRNA". It matches the Rfam family "Bacterial small subunit ribosomal RNA", at positions 355 to 774 of the family's 1533-position model. The record is from RNAcentral.
UGGGGAAUUUUGGACAAUGGGCGCAAGCCUGAUCCAGCCAUGCCGCGUGCAGGAUGAAGGCCUUCGGGUUGUAAACUGCUUUUGUACGGAACGAAAAGACUCCUUCUAAUAAAGGGGGUCCAUGACGGUACCGUAAGAAUAAGCACCGGCUAACUACGUGCCAGCAGCCGCGGUAAUACGUAGGGUGCAAGCGUUAAUCGGAAUUACUGGGCGUAAAGCGUGCGCAGGCGGUUAUGCAAGACAGAGGUGAAAUCCCCGGGCUUAACCUGGGAACUGCCUUUGUGACUGCAUAGCUAGAGUACGGUAGAGGGGGAUGGAAUUCCGCGUGUAGCAGUGAAAUGCGUAGAUAUGCGGAGGAACACCGAUGGUGAAGGCAGCCUCCUGGGCCAGUACUGACGCUCAUGCACGAAAGCGUGGGGAGCAAACA